AGAGGUGUUGGGUUUAAAGCACGU
RNAcentral lists this non-coding RNA (24 nucleotides) under Arabidopsis thaliana (thale cress). The record is from RNAcentral. Lineage: Eukaryota; Viridiplantae; Streptophyta; Magnoliopsida; Brassicales; Brassicaceae.